This is a non-coding RNA of Cyanistes caeruleus (blue tit), 572 nucleotides long. The record is from RefSeq and is a predicted model, not a curated record. NCBI's taxonomy places the organism in Eukaryota, Metazoa, Chordata, Aves, Passeriformes, Paridae.
AGGUAAGAGGCCCUGGCAACCCCGCUCCUCCCUCCCCGCCUGGUCACGGCUGGAGGGCGCAGCGGGCGCCCCUGGGGCGCUCAGCUUUGGAGUUUUAGAGCCCGUUAAAAUGAGAGCGGCGGCGCUUGUUUUUUCCAGCAAUUGUUUUCCAGUUCUCGCUGCAGGAUAUCUGGCUGUGCGCGUUGGCUUUCCUUGAGAUGCCCGUGGAAUAGCACUGGCAUCGAGCGACUUGUGAGCCGCACCCCACGCGAUGGAUGGAAACUGCCAUCAUGUAGAUGUGAAGUAAUUACUGAGCUCUGAAGAGAGUGUUUGAGGCUGGCUACUCUCCUCAAGAGAAAAAAGGAUAAAGAGAAUGAUUCUCCUAGAAGAAAAUGUAAUUUGAAAGAUACCAGGGACACUGGGCUCUAUUCUGCAUAAGCUGUAGCAGGAUAAAGUUUCAUAAGUUGCUUGUCUCCAGGAGCAGUGCUUUUUAACUGAGUGAUUUGCUCAGUGCUGUGCAUAAUCCUGCAAGACUUAAGGAAAACACCCUGGCAGGAUGGAGUGCCAUAAAGCUGGAGAAGAACCAGAGAAAA